Molecule: ribosomal RNA, 494 nt
Filed under: uncultured bacterium
Lineage: Bacteria
Description: partial 16S ribosomal RNA
Rfam family: Bacterial small subunit ribosomal RNA
Source: RNAcentral
GACGAACGCUGGCGGCGUGCUUAACACAUGCAAGUCGAACGGAAAGGCCUGCUUUCCCUUGUGGAUUGCGGGUACUCGAGUGGCGAACGGGUGAGUAACACGUGAGUGAUCUGCCCCCAACUUGGGUAUAAGCCUGGGAAACUGGGUCUAAUUCCCGAUAGGACUGCAGGGUGGUGCCUGUGGUGGAAAACGAUUUUCUAGUGGUUGGGGAUGAGCUCGCGGCCUAUCAGCUUGUUGGUGGGGUAAUGGCCGACCAAGGCGGCGACGGGUAGCCGGCCUGGGAGGGUGGACGGCCGCAUUGGGACUGCGAUACGGCCCAGACGCCUACGGGAGGCAGCAUAGGGGAAUAAUGCACGAUGAGCGGAAGCCUGAUGCAGCGACGCCGCGUGGGGGAUGACGGGCUUCGGGUGGUAAACUCCUUUCGACCGCGAGGAAGCCACCUGGUUGGAAGGGUGGUGACGGUAGUGGUAGAAGAAGCACCGGCUAACUACGUG